GACGAACGCUGGCGGCGUGCUUAACACAUGCAAGUCGAACGAUGAAGCACCAGCUUGCUGGUGUGGAUUAGUGGCGAAUGGGUGAGUAACACGUGAGUAACCUGCCCCUCACUCUGGGAUAAGCCUGGGAAACUGGGUCUAAUACUGGAUACGACCGAUCUCCGCAUGGAGUGUUGGUGGAAAGUUUUUGUGGUGGGGGAUGGACUCGCGGCCUAUCAGCUUGUUGGUGGGGUAAUGGCCUACCAAGGCGACGACGGGUAGCCGGCCUGAGAGGGCGACCGGCCACACUGGGACUGAGACACGGCCCAGACUCCUACGGGAGGCAGCAGUGGGGAAUAUUGCACAAUGGGCGAAAGCCUGAUGCAGCGACGCCGCGUGAGGGAUGACGGCCUUCGGGUUGUAAACCUCUUUCACCAGGGACGAAGCUAACGUGACGGUACCUGGAGAAGAAGCACCGGCUAACUACGUG
Molecule: ribosomal RNA, 469 nt
Filed under: uncultured bacterium
Lineage: Bacteria
Description: partial 16S ribosomal RNA
Rfam family: Bacterial small subunit ribosomal RNA
Source: RNAcentral